AAAAACUGAGGUGGUAUACGAUGGUUCCGCGUCUGAUUAGCUAGUUGGUGGGGUAAAAGCCUACCAAGGCAACGAUCAGUAGCCGGCCUGAGAGGGUGAACGGCCACAUUGGGACUGAGACACGGCCCAAACUCCUACGGGAGGCAGCAGUGGGGAAUAUUGCACAAUGGGGGAAACCCUGAUGCAGCGACGCCGCGUGAGUGAAGAAGUAUUUCGGUAUGUAAAGCUCUAUCAGCAGGGAAGAAAUACUGACCAUAGGGUCAGCAGACGGUACUUGACUAAGAAGCCCCGGCUAACUACGUGCCAGCAGCCGCGGUAAUACGUAGGGGGCAAGCGUUAUCCGGAUUUACUGGGUGUAAAGGGAGCGUAGACGGCAGCGCAAGUCUGAAGUGAAAUGCCAGGGCUUAACCCUGGAACUGCUUUGGAAACUGUGCAGCUAGAGUGCAGGAGAGGUAAGUGGAAUUUCUAGUGUAGCGGUGAAAUGCGUAGAUAUUAGGAGGAACACCAGUGGCGAAGGCGGCUUACUGGACUGUAACUGACGUUGAGGCUCGAAAGCGUGGGGAGCAAACAGGAUUAGAUACCCUGGUAGUCCACGCUAUAAACGAUGAUUACUAGGUGUUGGGGGACCAAGGUUCUUCG
RNAcentral lists this ribosomal RNA (639 nucleotides) under uncultured bacterium. RNAcentral's name for it is "bacterial SSU rRNA". It matches the Rfam family "Bacterial small subunit ribosomal RNA", at positions 202 to 842 of the family's 1533-position model. The record is from RNAcentral.